Molecule: ribosomal RNA, 497 nt
Filed under: uncultured bacterium
Lineage: Bacteria
Description: partial 16S ribosomal RNA
Rfam family: Bacterial small subunit ribosomal RNA
Source: RNAcentral
GAUGAACGCUGGCGGCGUGCCUAAUACAUGCAAGUCGAGCGAACAGAUGAGGAGCUUGCUCCUCUGACGUUAGCGGCGGACGGGUGAGUAACACGUGGAUAACCUACCUAUAAGACUGGGAUAACUUCGGGAAACCGGAGCUAAUACCGGAUAAUAUAUUGAACCGCAUGGUUCAAUAGUGAAAGACGGUUUUGCUGUCACUUAUAGAUGGAUCCGCGCCGCAUUAGCUAGUUGGUAAGGUAACGGCUUACCAAGGCGACGAUGCGUAGCCGACCUGAGAGGGUGAUCGGCCACACUGGAACUGAGACACGGUCCAGACUCCUACGGGAGGCAGCAGUAGAGAAUCUUCCGCAAUGGGCGAAAGCCUGACGGAGCAACGCCGCGUGAGUGAUGAAGGUCUUCGGAUCGUAAAACUCUGUUAUUAGGGAAGAACAAAUGUGUAAGUAACUAUGCACGUCUUGACGGUACCUAAUCAGAAAGCCACGGCUAACUACGUG